CAGUCGCCGCGGGAAUACGUAGGGUGCAAGCGUUAAUCGGAAUUACUGGGCGUAAAGCGUGCGCAGGCGGUUAUAUAAGACAGAUGUGAAAUCCCCGGGCUCAACCUGGGAACUGCAUUUGUGACUGUAUAGCUAGAGUACGGCAGAGGGGGAUGGAAUUCCGCGUGUAGCAGUGAAAUGCGUAGAUAUGCGGAGGAACACCGAUGGCGAAGGCAAUCCCCUGGGCCUGUACUGACGCUCAUGCACGAAAGCGUGGGUAGCAAACAGGAUUAGAGACCCCUGUAGUCCCUGUCUCUUAUAC
This 301-nucleotide ribosomal RNA is filed under the name uncultured bacterium. RNAcentral describes it as "partial 16S ribosomal RNA". It matches the Rfam family "Bacterial small subunit ribosomal RNA", at positions 509 to 807 of the family's 1533-position model. The record is from RNAcentral.